Brienomyrus brachyistius is the source of this 173-nucleotide long non-coding RNA. RefSeq lists it as uncharacterized. The transcript has 3 exons. The record is from RefSeq and is a predicted model, not a curated record. Lineage: Eukaryota; Metazoa; Chordata; Actinopteri; Osteoglossiformes; Mormyridae.
AUGACGGCGAAGAUCGUGGGCGAUUAUUUCGUGGAGGGGCUAUACGACAUCCACAUCAAGCUGCAGAGUGUGCCCUUCCUGCACUGGGAUGCCCCAGCCACCUCCCACUCCCUGACUGCCAGGGAGGUUAUGAGCUCUCCAGUAACCUGCUUCAACCUGGUGGAGAAAGUGGG